This 407-nucleotide ribosomal RNA is filed under the name uncultured bacterium. Its description in RNAcentral is "partial 16S ribosomal RNA". It matches the Rfam family "Bacterial small subunit ribosomal RNA", at positions 28 to 526 of the family's 1533-position model. The record is from RNAcentral.
GACGAACGCUGGCGGCGUGCCUAAUACAUGCAAGUAGGACGCAGUUGCGAACGGGUGAGUAACGCGUAGGUAACUACCUAUUAGAGGGGGAUAACUAUUGGAAACGAUAGCUAAUACCGCAUACUAGUAGAUGGACCUGCGUUGUAUUAGCUAGGAGGUAGGGUAAUGGACUACCUAGGCAACGAUACAUAGCCGACCUGAGAGGGUGGACCGCCAAACGGGGACGGAGACACGGGCCCAACUCCCUCGGGGGGGAGCAGUAGGGAAUGUUCGGCAAUGGGGGGAACCCUGGCCGAGCAACGCCGCGUGAGUGGAGAAGGUUUUCGGAUCGUAAAGGUCUGUUGUUAAGGAAGCGGUACUUAACCAGAAAGGGACGGCUAACUACGUGCCAGCAGCCGCGGUAAUAC